AGCUGCAGGCUUAAUACAUGCAAGUCGAGGGGUAACAGAGAGUGCUUGCACUCUGCUGACGACCGGCGCACGGGUGCGUAACGCGUAUGCAACCUACCUUUUACAGAGGGAUACCCAAGAGAAAUUUUGAAUAAUACCUCAUAAGCUCUAUUUGUAUCAUUAUUUAUAGAGGAAAACUUCGGUGGUAAUUGAUGGGCAUGCGUCCUAUUAGUUUGUUGGUAAGGUAACGGCUUACCAAGACUACGAUAGGUAGGGGUCCUGAGAGGGAGAUCCCCCACACUGGUACUGAGACACGGACCAGACUUCUACGGAAGGCAGCAGUAAGGAAUAUUGGACAAUGGAGGAAACUCUGAUCCAGCCAUGCAGCGUGCAGGAAGAAUGCCCUAUGGGUUGUAAACUGCUUUUAUACAGGAAGAAACUUUUCCACGUGUGGGAAACUGACGGUACUGUACGAAUAAGGAUCGGCUAACUCCGUGCCAGCAGCCGCGGUAAUACGGAGGAUCCAAGCGUUAUCCGGAAUUAUUGGGUUUAAAGGGUCCGCAGGCGGUUUGUUAAGUCAGAGGUGAAAUCCUACCGCUCAACGGUAGAAUUGCCUUUGAUACUGAUAGACUUGAGUUAUUGUGAAGUAGUUAGAAUGUGUGGUGUAGCGGUGAAAUGCAUAGAUAUUACACAGAAUACCAAUUGCGAAGGCAGAUUACUAACAAUACACUGACGCUGAGGGACGAAAGCGUGGGUAGCGAACAGGAUUAGAUACCCUGGUAGUCCACGCCGUAAACGAUGGUCACUAGCUGUUUGACCAACAUUGGUUGGUUGAGUGGCUAAGCGAAAGUGAUAAGUGACCCACCUGGGGAGUACGGUCGC
RNAcentral lists this ribosomal RNA (861 nucleotides) under uncultured Flavobacteriaceae bacterium. RNAcentral describes it as "bacterial SSU rRNA". It matches the Rfam family "Bacterial small subunit ribosomal RNA", at positions 38 to 889 of the family's 1533-position model. Lineage: Bacteria; Pseudomonadati; Bacteroidota; Flavobacteriia; Flavobacteriales; Flavobacteriaceae. The record is from RNAcentral.